This 1181-nucleotide long non-coding RNA is filed under the name Bemisia tabaci. RNAcentral's name for it is "lncRNA ENSSWEETPG001720". Lineage: Eukaryota; Metazoa; Arthropoda; Insecta; Hemiptera; Aleyrodidae. The record is from RNAcentral.
AAUCUAGACGUCGAACCAGACGGUUUGAAACGAAUUCUUAGGUUUUUCACGGACAACCCGCAGCUAGAGGGCGCCUUGGAAACGGUCAAUUUAUUGAGUAACAUCAAGUAGAAUGUCGCAUUUAUUUUAGAAAGAUGCAAUUGCUCUCUCCUUACCCAUGGGUUUCGAUGUUGGACCUACAAAGUACAAUAUUGUCCUAGUUAUGUAAUUGAUUUGACCAAGUAUUUGCAAGUUUAUGCCGUAUUAAAAUAUCGCAUUGAUAGGAAAAUUUGAGAGUAGCAAGGACUAAGGAAUCAAGUGACAUCUAUUGGACGCGGUCAACGUCAAAAAUCUACAUAGAUGAUAAGGACUAUCGAUUAAAUUUUAAUUCGGUAAGGUGAGCAAAAGAGUUCUUGUGUUCAGUUUAGCUCAUAGUAUACCUUAAGAUAAGUGCGGGGGAGGGGGGGGUUCCGUUUUGUUAUAAGUGCCUCUUAAAUUUUUACCUGUGAUAUACUUUAUUUGAAGUAGUCAAAACCAGAAAGUCUUGAUUUUUUUCUCCUUUGUGCCAAUAUACACAUUUCUUAUGUAGCAGCUAAGAAGGAACAUGUUGCCUUUAUCAUAUUCUCACCUAACAAUCACAUUUUUUUUAGCAGUUCUGCAAAAGUUUAGCCUCAGUCUCGCCAUUGGUGUUCUCCUCUGUUCUAGAUGUGCAAAGAGUUUCUUUUAAUUUUAUUUGUACUUAAAUUAAAUACUUGGCAAGUUUGUGCACCAUGGCAAAGAGAAGAGAUGAUUCAAGGUGUACCUACCGUCGUUCCUAAUUUAUAAUUUUAUCAUGUCUGAAUUUCAAAGCUCUUAGAAUAGAGUUUUUUUCCCCGAUCAAAAUUGAGCACAGUCUAUUACCAAUUUAGUACAAAUAUUUUUGAAUACAUUCCUCAUUUUUUUCUUUUUAACAUUUUCCAUUUUUCCAUGACACUAAAUCAUUGUGUCGCUGUACACCUUACAUUCUCGCUUAAUUAACAAGCGUAAAUUACAAUUAUUUUUUUACUAAAUCAAAUUUUUGUAUUCCUGAGGGAAAUUUAAUCAAAUAUGAAAAAUGGAAAUGGUCAGGUGUGUUUCCCAAAUUGUUUUUCGGGAAAUGUUUACCGCAAAAUUUACUCCUGUGUUACAUCUCGUCCCAUUCUGAUAUUUUAAUUUUUUUUUUU